This is a long non-coding RNA of Chelonia mydas (Green sea turtle), 1011 nucleotides long. RefSeq lists it as uncharacterized. The record is from RefSeq and is a predicted model, not a curated record. The transcript has 3 exons. Lineage: Eukaryota; Metazoa; Chordata; Testudines; Cheloniidae.
CUCAGCUUCUUGUGACAGGGCACUAUCAGCAGCAUCCUGAUGACUGCCAUUGCUGCAGCCUGAAGAAGACUGCAGGCCCAGCUGGAGGUAAUUAUACAAAUUCUGUGAGCACCUGAGCGGAAAUCACUGGGCUUAUGAAGUAAUUGGGACAACAGGAAGCAAGAGGUAAUUUGAAAGGGAAGCUCAGAGUGUAAGCCUGAGCUGAGGAGUGAUGGUGGCAUGGAAGCCUCCCCUUGCUGUAAGGCUGUAUUAUUGUUACUUUGUAAGAAAAGAAGACAUACACGGCUUCUUGAAAGGCUAGCACCCUGGAAACAAAACUUAACCUCACUCUGAUCCAGUAGGAUUCCAACAUGCUGACACUUAACUAAGUAUGAGUGCCUCGGAAUGCUGGAGAAUUUGGGAGUCAGAUGACCUUAAAAGGGCAAAGCGUGAGCCAGUCUCUGAUGCUUGAUACUGUCUAAUCCUGGGCCAUCUGUCUCACCCUGCCCUGAAUGACCUUUGGACCCCAUACAUGACCUUCUGCUGCAGAUUUGUUAGAAGAGUUCUGGGAGGUGGGAUAGGAAGAUCUUCCAUACUCGGGGUUGCUACGAUGUUAGUCUAAAUUAGUGCUGGAUGAAUAGUUUACAAUAGAUAAUUUAUUCAAUGGAUUUCUCCUUCUUAUUCAAAAUUAUUCAGCAAAUAAUUCUUGUGUUUAAUUCCUGAUGUAGUUUGUUCCCAAGUUCAUUCCAUGUAUUCAGAAUUUGAAAUUAGAACCAUUUUGAUUGGACACUUGGUAUUUUUCUGUUCCCUGACUCCAUGCAUGUACUUUUAGAGUCUGGUUUCUGAUGGAAAUACUUAAAAUUACAGAUUUGAAAUUUUGUUUUCUGAUGCUGCAGUAUUUAACAACUUGCUUUUUUUUUUUUUUUUUUUUUUUUUUUUUUUUUGACAUGCCCACCAGUGAUAGCAAUUUGCUAGAAAAUUUAUGGAAAAAGAAAAAGGUCUGAACAGUUAAAGUGAAUUAAUUUAAAAAUU